UGACAUAUUCAAUUGAUCAAGUACUAAUUAAAGCUUUAAAUUGAGGCAAUUGAAACAGUUACCUCUUUGUCAUCAAAUAAGGUUUUGUGAUCAUCUUCGUAGAUCAUCAAAGCGUCUUUGUAGUACAUAAUCUUGACGAAGGGUAAUCUGGAGCUUCGUUCAGUCCAGACUAAAGCUGCAUCCUAUGCGGUUCAUGAACUGGGAUGAGAUUUUGUCAUGGAUUCGAAUGACAAGGACUUUUGCUCCUUCUACACUAAGGAAACUAGUAUCUCAAGCGCGCGGUGAUUUACGCGACUUGGAAGCAGAGAAAUAGCAUGUUCCAUAAUUCACAACAUGUUGCUCCUGCUUUUGUUUUUAAGAUCCUUGAUCGGAAAUUCAUCAACUCUAUAAAUGCAAGGAGGCACCGAAGAAAGUUUUUUAACCUUAUGGGCCUUUCACCUUUGGCUCGAAUGAAGUUUCUACCUUGAAAUUUGUUUACUUCCUUGUUUUUUUUAUCCUUAUUUUUUUAGCCAAGGAACUAAAUCUUAGAUAUUUACAUGUAAAUCAUAAUUCUUCAUUUUAUAUGAUAUUUACCCAUUUAGCAACA
RNAcentral lists this unclassified non-coding RNA (586 nucleotides) under Arabidopsis thaliana (thale cress). Lineage: Eukaryota; Viridiplantae; Streptophyta; Magnoliopsida; Brassicales; Brassicaceae. The record is from RNAcentral.